AUUGAACGCUGGCGGCAUGCCUUACACAUGCAAGUCGAACGGCAGCACGGGAGCAAUCCUGGUGGCGAGUGGCGAACGGGUGAGUAAUAUAUCGGAACGUGCCCAGUCGUGGGGAUAACGUAGCGAAAGCUACGCCAAUACCGCAUACGAUCUAUGGAUGAAAGCGGGGGAUCGCAAGACCUCGCGCGACUUGGAGCGGCCGAUAUCAGAUUAGGUAGUUGGUGAGGUAAAGGCUCACCAAGCCGACGAUCUGUAGCUGGUCUGAGAGGACGACCAGCCACACUGGGACUGAGACACGGCCCAGACUCCUACGGGAGGCAGCAGUGGGGAAUUUUGGACAAUGGGCGCAAGCCUGAUCCAGCAAUGCCGCGUGCAGGAUGAAGGCCUUCGGUUGUAAC
This 398-nucleotide ribosomal RNA is filed under the name uncultured bacterium. RNAcentral describes it as "bacterial SSU rRNA". It matches the Rfam family "Bacterial small subunit ribosomal RNA", at positions 30 to 429 of the family's 1533-position model. The record is from RNAcentral.